Molecule: long non-coding RNA, 394 nt
Filed under: Trifolium pratense (red clover)
Lineage: Eukaryota; Viridiplantae; Streptophyta; Magnoliopsida; Fabales; Fabaceae
Description: long non-coding RNA (TPRA_LNC009186)
Source: RNAcentral
UAAAAGUGGCGCCUAAAGUAGUGCUUGGUUGGAAAUUCAUAACUGUAAAACACUCAUCAAUAAAUAUUUAAUUUAAUCAAAUAAGUAAAAAAAAAAAGUGUUCAUCAAUGGCGUUUCUCCUCAGUGGAGAUAUACGCAACCACCAUCAUCAUAAUCAUCUUCAAAACCCUAUUUCUAUAUUCCUUUCUUCCUCUUUCUAUUUUAUUCAUUCCUUUCUAUUAAUUAAUUAAUUAAUUAAUUAAUAAUUUCACUUUCACCUUCAACAAACAAAUCAAUCAAUUUUAUUCCUUUCAAUUCACCACAUAUGCAACCAAAAUCAAUUCUAAAUUAGGGUUUUCAAUUUCAUCAUCAUCAUCAUCAUCAUGGGAAACAGCUCAAGCAACGGCGGUAACAA